ACUCCUACGGGAGGCAGCAGUGGGGAAUAUUGCACAAUGGGCGAAAGCCUGAUGCAGCGACGCCGCGUGAGGGAUGACGGCCUUCGGGUUGUAAACCUCUUUCAGUAGGGAAGAAGCGAAAGUGACGGUACCUGCAGAAGAAGCACCGGCUAACUACGUGCCAGCAGCCGCGGUAAUACGUAGGGUGCGAGCGUUAUCCGGAAUUAUUGGGCGUAAAGAGCUCGUAGGCGGUUUGUCGCGUCUGUCGUGAAAGUCCGGGGCUUAACCCCGGAUCUGCGGUGGGUACGGGCAGACUAGAGUGCAGUAGGGGAGACUGGAAUUCCUGGUGUAGCGGUGGAAUGCGCAGAUAUCAGGAGGAACACCGAUGGCGAAGGCAGGUCUCUGGGCUGUAACUGACGCUGAGGAGCGAAAGCAUGGGGAGCGAACAGGAUUAGAUACCCUGGUAGUCCAUGCCGUAAACGUUGGGCACUAGGUGUGGGGAACAUUCCACGUUUUCCGCGCCGCAGCUAACGCAUUAAGU
Molecule: ribosomal RNA, 520 nt
Filed under: bacterium btn 18g-3
Lineage: Bacteria
Description: bacterial SSU rRNA
Rfam family: Bacterial small subunit ribosomal RNA
Source: RNAcentral